GGGUUGUGAGGUUAAGCGACUAAGCGUACACGGUGGAUGCCCUGGCAGUCAGAGGCGAUGAAGGACGUGCUAAUCUGCGAUAAGCGUCGGUAAGGUGAUAUGAACCGUUAUAACCGGCGAUUUCCGAAUGGGGAAACCCAGUGUGAUUCGUCACACUAUCAUUAACUGAAUCCAUAGGUUAAUGAGGCGAACCGGGGGAACUGAAACAUCUAAGUACCCCGAGGAAAAGAAAUCAACCGAGAUUCCCCCAGUAGCGGCGAGCGAACGGGGAGCAGCCCAGAGCCUGAAUCAGUGUGUGUGUUAGUGGAAGCGUCUGGAAAGGCGCGCGAUACAGGGUGACAGCCCCGUACACAAAAAUGCACAUGCUGUGAGCUCGAUGAGUAGGGCGGGACACGUGGUAUCCUGUCUGAAUAUGGGGGGACCAUCCUCCAAGGCUAAAUACUCCUGACUGACCGAUAGUGAACCAGUACCGUGAGGGAAAGGCGAAAAGAACCCCGGCGAGGGGAGUGAAAAAGAACCUGAAACCGUGUACGUACAAGCAGUGGGAGCACAGAGCAAUCUGUGUGACUGCGUACCUUUUGUAUAAUGGGUCAGCGACUUAUAUUCUGUAGCAAGGUUAACCGAAUAGGGGAGCCGAAGGGAAACCGAGUCUUAACUGGGCGUUAAGUUGCAGGGUAUAGACCCGAAACCCGGUGAUCUAGCCAUGGGCAGGUUGAAGGUUGGGUAACACUAACUGGAGGACCGAACCGACUAAUGUUGAAAAAUUAGCGGAUGACUUGUGGCUGGGGGUGAAAGGCCAAUCAAACCGGGAGAUAGCUGGUUCUCCCCGAAAGCUAUUUAGGUAGCGCCUCGUGAAUUCAUCUCCGGGGGUAGAGCACUGUUUCGGCAAGGGGGUCAUCCCGACUUACCAACCCGAUGCAAACUGCGAAUACCGGAGAAUGUUAUCACGGGAGACACACGGCGGGUGCUAACGUCCGUCGUGAAGAGGGAAACAACCCAGACCGCCAGCUAAGGUCCCAAAGUCAUGGUUAAGUGGGAAACGAUGUGGGAAGGCCCAGACAGCCAGGAUGUUGGCUUAGAAGCAGCCAUCAUUUAAAGAAAGCGUAAUAGCUCACUGGUCGAGUCGGCCUGCGCGGAAGAUGUAACGGGGCUAAACCAUGCACCGAAGCUGCGGCAGCGACGCUUAUGCGUUGUUGGGUAGGGGAGCGUUCUGUAAGCCUGUGAAGGUGUGCUGUGAGGCAUGCUGGAGGUAUCAGAAGUGCGAAUGCUGACAUAAGUAACGAUAAAGCGGGUGAAAAGCCCGCUCGCCGGAAGACCAAGGGUUCCUGUCCAACGUUAAUCGGGGCAGGGUGAGUCGACCCCUAAGGCGAGGCCGAAAGGCGUAGUCGAUGGGAAACAGGUUAAUAUUCCUGUACUUGGUGUUACUGCGAAGGGGGGACGGAGAAGGCUAUGUUGGCCGGGCGACGGUUGUCCCGGUUUAAGCGUGUAGGCUGGUUUUCCAGGCAAAUCCGGAAAAUCAAGGCUGAGGCGUGAUGACGAGGCACUACGGUGCUGAAGCAACAAAUGCCCUGCUUCCAGGAAAAGCCUCUAAGCAUCAGGUAACAUCAAAUCGUACCCCAAACCGACACAGGUGGUCAGGUAGAGAAUACCAAGGCGCUUGAGAGAACUCGGGUGAAGGAACUAGGCAAAAUGGUGCCGUAACUUCGGGAGAAGGCACGCUGAUAUGUAGGUGAAGUCCCUCGCGGAUGGAGCUGAAAUCAGUCGAAGAUACCAGCUGGCUGCAACUGUUUAUUAAAAACACAGCACUGUGCAAACACGAAAGUGGACGUAUACGGUGUGACGCCUGCCCGGUGCCGGAAGGUUAAUUGAUGGGGUUAGCGCAAGCGAAGCUCUUGAUCGAAGCCCCGGUAAACGGCGGCCGUAACUAUAACGGUCCUAAGGUAGCGAAAUUCCUUGUCGGGUAAGUUCCGACCUGCACGAAUGGCGUAAUGAUGGCCAGGCUGUCUCCACCCGAGACUCAGUGAAAUUGAACUCGCUGUGAAGAUGCAGUGUACCCGCGGCAAGACGGAAAGACCCCGUGAACCUUUACUAUAGCUUGACACUGAACAUUGAGCCUUGAUGUGUAGGAUAGGUGGGAGGCUUUGAAGUGUGGACGCCAGUCUGCAUGGAGCCGACCUUGAAAUACCACCCUUUAAUGUUUGAUGUUCUAACGUUGACCCGUAAUCCGGGUUGCGGACAGUGUCUGGUGGGUAGUUUGACUGGGGCGGUCUCCUCCUAAAGAGUAACGGAGGAGCACGAAGGUUGGCUAAUCCUGGUCGGACAUCAGGAGGUUAGUGCAAUGGCAUAAGCCAGCUUGACUGCGAGCGUGACGGCGCGAGCAGGUGCGAAAGCAGGUCAUAGUGAUCCGGUGGUUCUGAAUGGAAGGGCCAUCGCUCAACGGAUAAAAGGUACUCCGGGGAUAACAGGCUGAUACCGCCCAAGAGUUCAUAUCGACGGCGGUGUUUGGCACCUCGAUGUCGGCUCAUCACAUCCUGGGGCUGAAGUAGGUCCCAAGGGUAUGGCUGUUCGCCAUUUAAAGUGGUACGCGAGCUGGGUUUAGAACGUCGUGAGACAGUUCGGUCCCUAUCUGCCGUGGGCGCUGGAGAACUGAGGGGGGCUGCUCCUAGUACGAGAGGACCGGAGUGGACGCAUCACUGGUGUUCGGGUUGUCAUGCCAAUGGCACUGCCCGGUAGCUAAAUGCGGAAGAGAUAAGUGCUGAAAGCAUCUAAGCACGAAACUUGCCCCGAGAUGAGUUCUCCCUGACUCCUUGAGAGUCCUGAAGGAACGUUGAAGACGACGACGUUGAUAGGCCGGGUGUGUAAGCGCAGCGAUGCGUUGAGCUAACCGGUACUAAUGAACCGUGAGGCUUAACCUUACAACGCCGAAG
This 2927-nucleotide ribosomal RNA is filed under the name Escherichia coli. RNAcentral's name for it is "partial 23S ribosomal RNA". It matches the Rfam family "Bacterial large subunit ribosomal RNA". The record is from RNAcentral. Lineage: Bacteria; Pseudomonadati; Pseudomonadota; Gammaproteobacteria; Enterobacterales; Enterobacteriaceae.